This 261-nucleotide ribosomal RNA is filed under the name uncultured archaeon. Its description in RNAcentral is "partial 16S ribosomal RNA". It matches the Rfam family "Archaeal small subunit ribosomal RNA", at positions 748 to 1009 of the family's 1478-position model. The record is from RNAcentral.
UAGCCGUAAACGAUACUCGCUAGGUGUCGGCCACGGUGCGACCGUUGUCGGUGCCGUAGGGAAGCCGUGAAGCGAGCCACCUGGGAAGUACGGCCGCAAGGCUGAAACUUAAAGGAAUUGGCGGGGGAGCACCACAACGGGUGGAGCUUGCGGUUUAAUUAGAUUCAACGCCGGAAAUCUUACCGGGACCGACAGCAACAUGAAGGCCAGGCUGAAGACUUUGCCGGAUUAGCUGAGAGGAGGUGCAUGGCGUAGACGUCU